UAUUUAUGGAUAUAUGAGUAUAUAUAUGUCAUGAAAAAUGAUUAGGCUGUUCGAAAACAAAAUAAUAAUAAUAAUAAUAAUUGAGCUCUAUAGAUAGCUUAAUAUUAAAUUCUUUUUUAUCUUUUCUUUGCAUGUAAUUGUCUAAGAUUAAAUUUGUCUAACGUUAGAAACAGGCCCGGCCCCCAUACAUGGGCGACUUGGGCUCAGGCCCAGGACAGCAAAAUAUUGAGGGCAUCAAAAUAGUCCAGCUAGUUAUAUGUAUAGUAUAUAUAAAAACGGCCCAAAAAACUUAGCCCAUGGUGAUGACCUGUUUACCGACGUCUUGAGAAAGAAAGCUGGGAAGACGCACCAAUUCCAAGCAAUCAUCGAUCUGCUUAUAGAGAAACCAAACGCCUUUCGUGCCUAGAAUCCCGCUGGCGUUGCUUUCGAUGGGAGAAAUCAAUGCCCACCUAGAAUACUUCUCUCAUAAAUAAACACAAAAGGCGAUUUUGAAUUUUUGAUUUAGUAGUUCACUGAUUUGGAUGUGAUUCGUGGUUAUUUAAGAAAUUAGAUUUAGGUGAGUUCAAUCGAAACUUGUGUUUAUUUAGGUUUGUUUCAGAAAUCUUUGAUUUAUUAUUCAUCUGAUGAUCUGAUUUCUUAUCUAUUUUAUUACAGGAAAAAAUAGUCAGAGUCCAAAAUAGUUCAUUCUAAAUUUUCUAUUUCAGAAUCAUAUUUAUGUUUCAAUCUUUAGACAUUAAAUCAGAUUUCUCCUAUGUUUGUGUUUGUGCUCAAUAUUGUUGUUUCAGAAAUCAUCAAAUCAUAUUUGGGUAACAGGGUAAGUUUAAACUUGAAAUUUGUGUUAUUUAGGUUUCUUUCAGAAAUUGGAUUUAUUUCUUAUAUAUCUGAUUUAUUCUCUAAGAGUUAUUGAUUUUUUGGAUCUAAUUUCUCUAUUGUUUCUGAAAUCAGAUUUGGGUGAUUUCUGUAUUGUUUUCUCCAAGUUUCAGCUCCGAAAUCAGAUUUGUAUCUAAUUUCUUUACUAUUUCAGCAAUCAGAUUUAUAUAUACUUUUUCAGAAAUCAGAUUUUUAGAUUUUGAGGACAUGUUUCAAGGUCAUCCCAUGAGUGAAAGAAAGUUGAAGGGGCUGUUUGGGCACACAUCACAUGUGGUUGCAGGGCAGUGCUUGGGAUCUUGGUUGCUUAUAUUUGUUGCCAAGGUUUUUUUAGUGUGAUCAGAAUUCUAUGCAAGAUUGUUUUGUUUUGAAAACAAUUUUGGUUGAUUUUGUUGGAUUGAUUAGUUAUGUAUAAAACAAAACAUAAGUUGUUAUAUUAUAAUCCCAAAAAUAGUUGCACAACAGAA
Molecule: non-coding RNA, 1334 nt
Organism: Lactuca sativa (garden lettuce)
Lineage: Eukaryota; Viridiplantae; Streptophyta; Magnoliopsida; Asterales; Asteraceae
Source: RefSeq, a predicted model, not a curated record